AAUCCUAGUGGCGAACGGGUGAGAACGCGUUGGUGACCUGCCCCAAAGUGUGGGAUAACAGUCCGAAAGGAUUGCUAAUACCGCAUGUGGUCAUUGGAUUUAGAAACCGAUGACUAAAGGAGUAAUCCGCUUUGGGAGGGACCUGCGUCCCAUCAGCUAGUUGGUGAGGUAAUGGCUCACCAAGGCUACGACGUGUAGGGGACCUGAGAGGGUGGCCCCCCACAAUGGAACUGAAACACGGUCCAU
Molecule: ribosomal RNA, 246 nt
Filed under: uncultured bacterium
Lineage: Bacteria
Description: partial 16S ribosomal RNA
Rfam family: Bacterial small subunit ribosomal RNA
Source: RNAcentral